AUUUAUAUCCCGAUAAAGGGAUGUUUUUAACUUUAUUCUUGAAAUUGUUUUCGAUAUAUUAUUCCAAGAAAAAAAUCUAAAUAUAUGAAAGAUGUUUUUAACUUCACAGGAUGCGACUAUUUUAAUUCUAUAAGCUUUUCUUAGGUUCAUAUUUAACUAGAAAAUCCGAUUUCCUCUAAAUUCACUAUAAAAAGCGGUUCUGAAGCGGAUUCCGAUAGAAGAAUAACUCAAGAGAUGAAAAUCAUCAUAGCUUGUCCGUUUACUCAGGGUGUCAUAUGCAUCGAAGUCAGCAACGACUUUAUAUUCGUCCAGUGGUUCCUUCAAGACCAAGUCCUACCGACGUACAUACAGACAUGGCGGCGCGGCGCCGACGUGGGCACUGGAACCACCGAAGACCCAUUUAUACUAAAUUACGAUAUUGGCAACUAUGUUCAAGAUCUCAACGCCUAUAGUAG
Molecule: long non-coding RNA, 455 nt
Filed under: Androctonus crassicauda
Lineage: Eukaryota; Metazoa; Arthropoda; Arachnida; Scorpiones; Buthidae
Source: RNAcentral